This 24-nucleotide unclassified non-coding RNA is filed under the name Dictyostelium discoideum. The record is from RNAcentral. Lineage: Eukaryota; Evosea; Eumycetozoa; Dictyosteliales; Dictyosteliaceae.
CACUUAUGGGUGAGUCGAUCCUAA